UACGAAGGGUGCAAGCGUUACUCGGAAUUACUGGGCGUAAAGCGUGCGUAGGUGGUUCGUUAAGUCUGUCGUGAAAGCCCCGGGCUCAACCUGGGAAUGGCGAUGGAUACUGGCGGGCUAGAGUGCGGUAGAGGAGAGUGGAAUUCCCGGUGUAGCAGUGAAAUGCGUAGAGAUCGGGAGGAACAUCAGUUGCGAAGGCGGGUCUCUGGGCCGAUACUGACGCUGAGGAGCGAAAGCGUGGGGAGCGAACAGG
This 253-nucleotide ribosomal RNA is filed under the name uncultured bacterium. Its description in RNAcentral is "partial 16S ribosomal RNA". It matches the Rfam family "Bacterial small subunit ribosomal RNA", at positions 524 to 776 of the family's 1533-position model. The record is from RNAcentral.